Non-coding RNA from Danio rerio (zebrafish), 73 nucleotides. The record is from Rfam. NCBI's taxonomy places the organism in Eukaryota, Metazoa, Chordata, Actinopteri, Cypriniformes, Danionidae.
GUUUCCGUAGUGUAGUGGUUAACACGUUCGCCUCAUACACUAAAGGUCCCCAGUACGAAACUGGGAGGAAACA